UCCAUCUGGAAUAGCUUUCACAGCGUAGUUUCUAAUCUAAUCUUUAGAUCGUUAUACUUGAAGAAUAAAAAGAAGCUUUUACAUUUAGAUUGUUAUACGAUUUCAUAAUGAAUUCCUUCAAAAACCACUUACUAUCUUGUGGUGAUUUUGUCAACAUCUAUUUUAAGAAUGUAUUGUAUUUAAUGUUCUUGAUAGUAUGAUUAAGUAUCUGGAGACUUUUGUUUUUUAUAGGUUAGAAUUUAGUUUCGUGGGCAAUUUUUUACAUGUCUAUGUACAUGUAAAGACAUUGCUGAUUGGUUUCAAACCAAAAGGGUGCACUGAUUUAACACAAAGUCUCAGAUUGUUAGCAUGGAACUUACGGACCAUUUUAGAGUGAGCCGAAAAGCGGCUAUUCAGUCAGUAAAUACUACAAACAAGCAGCAUAUAUUUUUGUGCCAGUUUUUGAAACUGAUAGAUUUCAUGUGAAUAUUAGUGCUCUACUUAAAAUUAUGAACUGAAUGAAUGAAUAUGAAUUAUGAAAGAAUGACAUAUUUGUUGAAUAACCUGGCACUUGAAAGUGUCAUAUUAACACCAUUUUCAAAUAGAGGACUGUUAAAUGGACUGCAAAUUAAUAACAAUAUGCAAUAUUCCAGCAACGGAAUAAAAAUUAAGCAUUGCAACGGAGGACUCAGCAAAAUUUGCAUCAGGUAUUUUAAAUUACCCGAGCAUGUUUAUUCUUUACAAUUUCGGGUAGCAAGAUGGUUAAAGGGUGUCAUGAUAGAACGAAAUGAAGAAAGUGCAGCUCCAAAUUUACAUCAGGAUAUUCAGGAUGAUAUAAGUGCAUCAGAAAAACUAAAUCACAAAUCACACACACAAAUCACAACAUCAACUGUUUAUGAUUGAUUAUUUAUUUAAAAAAAUAUAUAUAAAAAAGUUUUGUCACUUCUCUAUGGGUUUUUUUUUUCUUUGUCAUUUUCAUCACAUUAAAAUGGAAACGAUGUUCUCUACCUUAAUUGCAUAUCUAUGUUUAUGACUAAAAUCCCUCUUACUCACGCAUCCCCCUUUGCGCUUGACUCGCACCGAUUAAAAAUGCGGUAGGGAGAGUUGGUGACUCAGGUGAAAAAUAAAUACAGUCAGGCGAUACCGCUUAAACGCUACGCGCGGAUCAAAACAGUGCGCCGCUUUAGUCCGACAAACGCUUGCGUGGUGAUACGGUGUGUCGUCGCGAUUGAAAUCAUCGGGGAAACGCGACGACUACGUAAUUUCCCAGCUGAUCGCUGACAGGUGCGUCCGUCGCUUGAUCAAAUAAUGAACGUUUAACACAAAUGGCAAGCGAAGUAAUCCAAAUACCGCUCGGCAAAGUGGUCGUCGACAUCGUCCUAUUGAACUGCGUGGGGUGGCCGAUACUGUUCCUGUAUCUUUGGGGUAGCGCAUUUCACCGGGGGUUUUUCUGUGACGAUGAGAGUUUGCGGCAUCCCUAUCACGAAUCGACCGUGCCCAGUUGGAGCCUUUACAUCACCGGAAUUGGGCUGAACUGUCUCGUGAUGGUUCUAACAGAAUUCUUAAACAGGCCCGGCGACAACAAAAGGGAAAUCUAUUUUAUGGGGUGGAACGUCCCUCAGUGGGUGUACAACGGUUAUUGCGCCAUUGGAAUUUUCGCAUUCGGAGCGGCAUGCUCCCAAUUGACGACGGAUGUUAUGAAAUACACGAUAGGACGACUGAGGCCUCAUUUUUACACCGUUUGCGAGCCUAACAUAGACUGUUCUUUGCCAGAAAAUCAGCACAUUUACCACAUAAACUUCAGUUGUACGAACCCAUCUUAUAUUUACAAUAAGAGGGUCAUGAAAGAAAUGAGAUUAUCAUUCCCGUCGGGACAUUCUUCUUUUUCUAUGUAUUCUAUGUUGUAUUUUGCGAUUUACUUGCAAAAAAGGAUGACAUGGGACGGCUCGAAACUGUUGAAGCACACGCUCCAAUUUUUGGCCGUUCUCAAUGCGGUGUUCACCGCGAUGACUAGGGUGUCAGACUACAAACACCACUGGAGCGACGUCCUCUCGGGCUUGCUACUGGGGGCUAUCGUCGCCAGCAUUACCGAUAUUUGCUUUGCACGGUUGAGGUCCUGCAAUCUAAAAUUAAGAGACGCUUACGUACCGAUCUAAAUUAGACACGGGGGUGUGCAUGCAAUAAAAUCGUUUUAGAAUUUCGAAAUUAAAGACGCGCUUUUUUAGUACUUUCUUCACCAGGACCGCCCCGCCACUACUGCAGGCUUUAAGUCAUUCCGAAUUAUCGAAUCUAAAUGGAAACAAUAUUCGCAGUCACGUGUGAAACCACGUGACACACUCCGACGAGAAUUUUAGAAUUAGAGAAAUAUUAGUUAUAAGUAUUUAUUAUGCAACGCUCGGGAAUAUGAAGAUAUUCGCACGGGGUCCACAAUUGUACAGGGUGACCCAAAUUGGACACUUUUAACCACGUUAGUUCUUGCAAGUUUUGUUCUUGUAAAGUAAAAAGUUGCUUUGAUAAUAUUUUUAUAGAAACGCAAAAUUUUCCAUAACAAAAAAUUUGCGUCGAUUUUUUAAAAAUGCGCAUUUUCCAAAAACACUCUACUUUGAUAUCUGUGUGCAGUUUUUACUAUUAGGUGUUUUAUGAAAAUUGAGCCCCAGACAUUAGUUUUCGUCUAUCUCCUUUAGAGACGGGAGUUUCCCUUUAAAAGGGUCGAAUUUGACCACCGUGUACAGCCUGUCAAAUUUUCUUUGUUGUUACUAUGGUCGAUUUUCUUGAAACAAUACAUUUCAGCCCUUUGCAUUUCAAUACCCUGUACUGUAAUCAGAUUAUGGAAACGAAAUCAUAUAGAUAAUUUUACGUAGUAGCGUACUCAGAUUUUUGGUAAAAAAUAGAAUUUUAAGAUACAAGCUAAGCUAAUUUUCAAAAUUUAGAUUGCGCUUUUUAGACCCUAUUCAAAAAUAUGUAAUUGCCUAAAUGUGUAAUUUUAAAUAUCCUUACUUUAUUCCCUUCAAUGUAUUAUUAUUGUUUUUUAUUAUAAUCAGAAAAAAUAGAAACUACAGAAUACAAAAAAUUAUUAAAAAUGUAUAUAAUAGGCUAUGCAAAAGUCUUGGAUCAGAAAGCAAUAUGAGGCAUGAACUGCUAUGACAAUAAUGUAAUCUAGAAUACUCUUUUCUUAAAUAUAUUGUGUACAUAAAUAUAUAGUAGUAAAUAUAUAUUUUUUAAUUCUCUAUUAAAAAUUCUUUAAUAAUUUUAAAUCGCUUUUAAAGAACGUUUAAAAUGUUCAAUAGACUGAAUACACUGAAUUCUGGAUUCUACGUUCUAUACGGUCAUCGCCGUGAAUGCUCAAAGACUAAUUCGUAAAUUAUGGAAAAAAUUUAUAAUUUUUUAUAUUAAAUUAAAAUAGAAAACAAGUAUAUUUUCUAAAAUAUCAAAAUAUGUGCUUAUUUUAAAAUAUAUAUAUUUGGACAAUUACAGAGUUUCGAAAAACAUAUAUACCAGUCAAAUUUAAAAAACUAUACAGAGUGCGUCAUUAAAAUUAUAUAUUUUACAAGAAAUCUGAGUACACCUUUGGAUUCUAUGCAAAAGGAGCCCGUUUCCAUCAUCUCCUUAAGUUACAGGGAGUUUAAAAUAUACAGGGUAAAUGACUAAAUUUUCAGUUUCACCUGGUAUUUUGGAAACAAGGCUAGCUACGAUUGUUUUGAAAAUUCCAACUUUUGUUUCACGAAAAUUGAACACAAUAUUGCAAAAACCUGAUCUCUAAAAAAUGGAUACAGUAUAAUAAUAUACAGUAAUAAAAUAACGAGAACCAUUUGUAUCUUACCUAUCUUAUAUUUCGGGAAUCCACAAUUACCUGUCUCCGGGGUGCCACAAAGUACCGUCUGAGAGUAAAGAGCGCGAUGGGCAAAUAUUUUGAACUACGCCGGAGACUGGCUCUUUGGAUUUUGUUAAUGUUGACAGUUAAAAUAAUUUUUUUUUGCCAGAUGAACGUUUUGUAAGGGAAAGGUGGCGAGAGGUAAACAAAGCUCACACGAUGUUAUUUAAACUUAUUUAUUUAUUUAAGCGGGGUAUUAUUUUUAUUAUUAUUAUGUUUAUUUACCCCAACCACUUUAAAUUAUAGUUUUUAAAUAAAAAUUUCAAGAAAAACAGAAAAAAUGACGACGUAGAAUUUUUAAUCUUCGUAUUUGCGUUUUUUGUAAAAAAUAGUUAAUGUUGCUGUAACUCUUCUUAUGAAAUUCUAGGUUCUGCUUAGAUUGUAGAUUUUAUUAGGAAAGCGUACAAUGAUGUCACUGUUUCUUGACCGAAAAAAUCGUCAAAUAUCUAUCUUCAUUUCGUUUCGUUCUAGUUCCUGUUCCGUAACGAGACAACACAGACGAGAGAGGGAAUGAAAUACUUUUCGCUCUGGAAGCAAUGACACCACUGUUUAGUUUUCUAAUACUUCUUCUUGUAACAGUUAUGCGUUCUUGCCCGUGGCAAAGCAUAGCUCAAAUCUAUUCUCGGAUCAACGUGAGGUUUUCUGAAACUUUAAAACUAUAAACCCCUGAAAAAUUGCCAAAUUUGCUCGAGGGGUAAAUUGAUCUAGUUAUUUUCUUUCUAUAGUGUUGGUACACAUCCGAUAGAAAGUGCCCAAAUUUAUAUAUUAGCUAGUAGUGGUUAUUAUUUUGCGAUCUUCUGUGAUGUUACGUAUAGGAACUCUUUUUAAACCGUCAUUAUUCAUCAUGCUAUUUUUAUUGGUAAUAAAGUUACAUUAUAGGAAAAAAGAGAAAAUGCGAUUAAAUUAAAAUUAAAUGGAAAAAAAGAAAGUAGUUUCCGAAAAAGCGGUAAUACAUUUUUUUUAGCGCAGCUUAACAAUGGAUAUAAUAAGAAAAAAUUGAUGUUUGUUUAUUUUCUAGUCAAUAUCUUAUUUAUUGUUUCUAAAUAAAGGGAAAGGGUCGACAAAAUAUAUUGACGUUAAAAUAGACGUUUACGUUUUUUUGUUUACUUGAACUAUCUUUUAUAGUUUCUAUACGCACGGUUAAUUAGCAAAAAUGUAAAGUGUAAACCAACGAUUAUUUUUCGGCUUCACGUGGUUAGUUUCAAUAUCUACUGGCCAUUGUGAUGAAAUAUUAGCAAUUAUGUUUAUAUCAAUUUGAUCGAUAGAUUCAAAUGUUUCAAAGCAAUAAAAGAAAUUAAAUUUUUCUGUGUGUAGCUACGUGAAUUUUGUGGGUUAUAUUGAUUGGAAAUCGCACAACUUUUAUUAAUUAAUUAAGUAUUAUAGACCUAAAGCUUAUAAAUAAAAGACGAUUUUCAGGUUAUGAGUUUCCUUUC
RNA transcript from Cylas formicarius (sweet potato weevil), 5283 nucleotides. It is a transcript of the gene named putative phosphatidate phosphatase, with no coding region annotated. Lineage: Eukaryota; Metazoa; Arthropoda; Insecta; Coleoptera; Brentidae. The record is from RefSeq and is a predicted model, not a curated record. The transcript is spliced from 7 exons.